CCCUAUUAUUUUUAAUAUAGUAUUUCUUUAAUAAUAGUUAUUUUCUUAAAAUUAAGAGAAUUUGGCGGUAAUUUAGUCUAACUAGAGGAAUUUGUAUAAUAAUUGAUAAUCCUCAUUGAAUUUUACUUAUUUUUAAAAGUUUGUAUAUCGUCAUUAGCAGAUUAUAUUUUAAAAUAAUUAUUGGAGUUGAUUAAUUAUAAAAAUUAGACCAUGGUGCAGCUUAUAAAUAAGAAUAUAUUAAUUACAAUAAUUUUAUUUAAUUACGGAUUUUUACAGGAAGGUGUGAUAUAAAGGUGGAUUUAGUUGUAUUUAAAAAAAUUAAUAAAGUUUUAAGAGAUAAGAUUUAAAUUGUGUACAC
RNAcentral lists this ribosomal RNA (358 nucleotides) under Elamena producta. Its description in RNAcentral is "partial 12S ribosomal RNA". The record is from RNAcentral. Lineage: Eukaryota; Metazoa; Arthropoda; Malacostraca; Decapoda; Hymenosomatidae.